UCGGGAAACUUUGACAAAGUGAAAUCGAAAUGAAAGUCUUGUCAGUAAUUUUAUUGGUUGCUCUGUGCACCGUUUUCGCCUAUGGUCAGUUAUGCGGGUCCGGUCUUUACACUCAACCUCGGUGCUGCUCUAUUAUUGGAUUCCAAUUAUUAAAUGUCCAGUGCUAUGGCGUGAUUCAGCCAUUUUCGACCGUAGAUGAGUUUAAAAUGGCUUGUCAACAUCAAAGAGGCGUGGCUCAGUGCUGUAGAAUUGCGGUUGUAGGAGUUGCGUUACUGUGCCGAGAUCCGUAGUGAAAGAAGGAAGUAAUUAGUGCAUAACUCUCUCCUAGCGACGUUUAUUGUUGAGACGUGUAGGAAGUUUGUUUUUUGAGCCGAAGGCGAGGAUUACAUUCCACACGACUCAACACAAAAUAUCACAGCGAGACAGAACGGCUUUUGUUUUGCUUGCGCAACUAUUUUUUUUGUUCUUUUUUGUCGCGUGGUUGUAAUUUUUUUAAAUAAAUAAAUGAAA
Bradysia coprophila is the source of this 510-nucleotide long non-coding RNA. RefSeq lists it as uncharacterized. NCBI's taxonomy places the organism in Eukaryota, Metazoa, Arthropoda, Insecta, Diptera, Sciaridae. The record is from RefSeq and is a predicted model, not a curated record.